CGAAGGUGCGCAGGUAGUAGGUGUUGGUGUGGGUAUCAUAAUAGUAGUGCUGGUGGUGCCCACUGCCGCCGCCGCCGCCGGAGUGCAGGCUGCUGCCCUCGCUCAGCACCGUGUCCCCGCCGUUCUGGAAGCUCACGUUGGGCCCGUCGACUCCGACCCCGGCAGCAUCUGACAGGCUGUCUUCAGCCGACGAGGAGGCAGCUGGGUCCACGAAGUUCACGCGGAAGCGGCCCUUGGCUUCCUCGCUGCCUUUAGCCGGCUCGCUCUCGCCGCUGGCUUCCCCGUCCGCGGGGGUCUGCUUGGCCCCCGCCCCAGCACCAGCCGCCGCCGCUGCCGCCGCCGCCGCCGCCGCCGCAGCAGCGGCCCGCCCGGCGUUCUCGGAAACCAGGUCCACCUGGAAACGGCUCUGGCUCGGGGUGGGCCCCAAGGGUCUGCCCAGCCCGUCCCCGGCCGCCGCGGGGCCCUCAUCGCGGACCCCGCCGCCGUCCCGGCUCGCGGGCGCAGCAUCCUCCGGCACCGAGGGCACAGCCGUGCCGGGCAGUUCCACCCUGGCUGCGGCCAGCGCAGCGGCUGACGGCGUCUCCCCGACCCCGGCCAGUCCCGGGGCGCCGGAGGAGGGCGCCGUGGGCCGCGGCUCCAUAGCUGCCCGACCCCCGGCGGAACUGCAGAGCCCGGCGGACGUCUCCGGCAGCACGCCCUCCACACCCCUGGCCGGCGGUGGCCACAGCCGCAAGACCAGGUGCAAGCGGUCUUCUCUGUCUUCUUUAUGGCCAGUAAAAUUCUCCAGAAGAGAUUUAUGGCAGCCUCACUCCCAGUAGUUUCUGCAUUUAGUGAGAUAAGAUGGAAUCUUGCUCUCUUGCUCAGACUGGAGUGCAGUGGCAUGACCUUGGCUCACUGCAACCUCACCUCUCGGGUUCAAGCGAUUCUGCCUCAGCCUCUCGAGUAGCUGGGACUACAGGUGGGAGACCUCCACAGAACCCUUCCAGCAAGCUGUCUUCUAAAGCAAACAAGAAAAGGAAAGUCUGAGCAGUUUUGAUUAGAUUUCCCAGAAGUCAAAGCAAGGAAAAAUGAAAAAGCUUCAUUUCUCACGUUCUUAAAAGAGAGCACAGAUGUUGCAUCAUCUGGUUAGAUACCCUGAGAAUAAAAUCUGGAUCCAGUGAGAGGAAAGAUUCUGGGUGCUCAUGAAAAAAGAAACAAAACAAAACUUGGGAGCCUCUUGAGAGUGUACAGCAUCAGCCCUUGCCAACUCUUGUUUAUAUGCAUUUAACUUUCAGUUAACCAUGGGAAUAAUUCAUGAAAAUCCAAUCUACAAACAAAGGCCAUCCUAACGUUCAUGUUAUUCUUUUCCCUAAGAAUCUUUCACAAGAGCUAUAAUCAAGUAGAAUUAUGCUUUGAUUUGAAUUCUAAUUCAAUUGAAAAUAAAAAAUGAGGGCCGGACGCGGUGGCUCAUGCCUGUAAUCCCAGCGCUUUGGGAGGCUGAGGUGGACGGAUCACGAGGUCAGGAGAUCGAGACCAUCCUGGCUAACACGGUGAAACCCGAUCCCUACUAAAAAUACAAAAAAUUAGCCGGGCGUGGUGGCAGGCGCCUGUAGUCCCAGCUACUCGGGAGGCUGAGGCAGGAGAAUGGCGUGAACCCAGGAGGCAGAGGUUGCAGUGAGCCGAGAUCAUGCUACUGCACUCCAGCCUGGGCGACAGAGCGAGACUCUGUGUAUAAAUAAAUAAAUAAAUAAAUAAAUAACGAAAAGGUUGCCAUUGCCCUUUCUGGGGAAAGUGAUAAUGAGGAAAGACUAGUUUCUUAACCCAAGUCAGCUUUAGAGUCGGCAAGGAUGCAAUUUGAGGUGAUCCAGGAAAACUCUAUUAGCAUGGUAUUUCCCAUACAGAUUCAUUUCUUUUAGGCCUGAAGUCUUUUUGGCACUUCUUAAUAAAAUCACAGAUACCUCUUGGACAUGAAAGCUUAUCCUUUAUCAAUUUCUAUCAGUUAACCACUCAGAUGAGGAUAAAGGCCUGAGUCAGAAAGGACAGAGAGAGGUUCCACAAAGAGAUAAAAGAUGAGUGGCCAUAAGGAGUCCUUGAAAACACACCUCUCUAGCCCAUCAAAAAAUGCAGCACCUUAAACUCAAGUCCAUCUUACUAGCCUUUAGCAGUACCCCACCACUCUCAAAAUUUCCAGCAUUAAAUGUCUCGGAGCUAUAUAAAAGGCAGACUUAGGUAUAAGUAGGAAGAGAUAUCAAGGGCUUGGGUAUCAUUUCAGCACUAAUGGAGCUUAUGGCAUGUAUGAAUGAACCUGAUGCGUGGUCUCCACGGUAGAUUGUUACAAUUGAGGUCCCACAUUUAUGAGAUUCCCAGUGAAAACAAAUCUCACAGCUUCACCUGAGAGAAACAUUACUGUCAGUCUCAGAUACAAAAGCCUGCUGCUAUUAGGUACCUAUACACCUGCUGAAAAUGGACCAGCUUUGCUGUAGUAGUGCGCGCAGGCAAAAAAAAAAAAAAACAUAAAAAUAACCCGUUUCUCAACAAAUAAAAUUAAUUGGCAGUCAUCACAUUCCCAAGGGAUCAAGGGGUAAAAUCUUUGGCAGCAUAUUGCACAGUGGGCAGGGUGUUUUUGGCUUCAUAAAAGUGAUAAGAGGAGACAACAGGCUAUUCUCUGCUCUUAGAAAUUAUUAGCUCUUUACUAACAUUUAAGAAUCCAUGGGGAAAUUUUUGCUCUGAAUUUGUUAGAAUGUUUAAUAUUAUAACAAUAAUAUUUAAGAUGUUGGUUUGAAGGUGGGGCACGGUGGCUCACGCCUGUAAUCCCAGCACUUUGGGAGGCUGAAGCAGGUGGAUUACUUGAGGUCAGGAGUUUAAGACCAGCCUGGCCAAAUGGUGAAACCUCAUCUCUACUAAAAAUACAAAUAUUAGCCAGGUGUGGUGGUGCACACCUGUAAUCCCAGCUACUCGGGAGGCUGAGGCUCGAGAAUCACUUCAACCUGGGAGUUGCAGGUUGCAUUGAGCUGAGAUUGUGCCACAGCAUUCCAGCCUGGGCGACAGAGUGAGACUCCAUCUCAAAAAAAAAAAAAAAAAAAAAAAAAGAUGUUGGUUUGAGUGCCUUUCAUAAGUUAACAAGCAACGGGAAAACAGCUCAAAUUUCAAAAAAGCAUUUAGUUCAUUGCCUCUGCGAUAAGCCUGUGCUUUCCAGCCCAGGAGAGAGAGUCCAUAUGGCAGGAGGCCUUCCUCAUCUCCUGGUGUGCCAAGCUCUCACCUUUCCUUUCAUGCCUGUGCUUUCCAGCCCAGGAGAGGGAGUCCAUAUGGCAGGAGGCCUUCCUCAUCUCCUGAUGUGCCAGGGUCUCACCUUUCCUUUCAUUUGGCUGGAGCUGUGCUGUCCAAUACAGUAGUCACUAGUCACAUGUGACCAUUAAGCAAUGGAAUGUGGCUAGUCUGAAUAAAAAUGUGCUUUAAUGUAAAAUACACAUUUGACUGGGAGAUUUAGUUUAAAAAAUGUUAAAUACUUCAAAUUUUCUAUAUUGCUUAUGCAUUAAAAUGAUAAUAUUUAGAAUACAUUGUGUUAAAGAAAAUGUAUUUUUAAAAUAAUUUAACUGACUUAUUUUUAUGUUUUUAAAAAUGUGGCUCCUAGAAAAUUUAAAAUACAUGGCUUGCAUUUGUGGCUCCCAUUAUAUUUCUGUUGGAUAAUGCUGGGCUAGCAUUUCCUUCCAGAUGAGCUCUCUCUGAAACCCAGGUGGAUGUGUUACCUGGAGAUGGCUCUAGUUAACCUGCACAGAUAUUGUUUGAGAGGGAGGAUCUCUGGUCCUCAAGCAUUGGCACACAGAUUAUUUUUCUGUUACCCCAGAGGAUGGAGUCAUGGAAAUCAAAGUUUGGCAAAAAGUGAUGACUGCCAAUUAAUUUUAUUUGCUGGGGAAUGGGUGAUUUCUUGCCUGAAUGCACUACCACAGCAAAGCUGCCCCACCUUAAGCAGGUGUGUAGGUACCCAGGUAGCAGGCUUUUGUAUCCGUGACUGACAGUAAUGUUUCUCUCAGUCCCUAAGCUACUCCUUAAACUACAUAAGAAACUGAUUCAGGUGGGUCGAAGUGAGUUUCAUCAGGAGUAGGAGAAGGAAAAUGGCAGCAAAGUGGCCAGGGAAGAUGCUGAGGAGAGGAGCAGUGAACAGUGGGGGAUGCAGGGCCUCAGCAGGGGGCAGGGGUGGAGGGGGGUGCAUUGGAACCUCACUGUGCCUGUCUGACGUCUUCUUCCUCUUUGACUUCUCCUUCCAUCUUUUCUCUCCUCAGUUUUUCCUCUGCUUUUAGAAUGAGUUAUUUUCAACGGAUUUGUACAAUGAAGAAAGGAGUUUAGUGUCACCCCUGGUCAAACUGGUCAAAACGUUUUUAGACAAUGCAGUAUAGGUAGAGUUCACCCAGCUCUAAUGAUACAGCAGCAAAAAUGCGGCGAAGCGGCAUUGCAUAGGCAGUCACGGUCACUAGGACCACAUCGCCCUUCUGGAAGAGAGUAUUACAGGGAGAAGGUGGAAAGAAAAUGAGAGGAGAAGCAAGUGUCUAGGCAGCUUGGGCUGCUAUCACAAAGUACUACAGAUGGGGUGGCUUAAACAAGAAACUUUUUUAUAGUUCUGGGGGCUGGAAGUCUCAGAUCAGGGUGUCAGGAUGGUCAGGUUCUGGUGAGGACUCUCUUCCUGGCCACCUUUAUGCUGCGUCCUCACAUGGCAGAAAGAGAGAGACCAAAACCUCUCUCAUAUCUCUUCUUAUAAGGGCACUGGCUGCAUCAUGAAAGGCCCACUCUCAUGAACCCAUCCAAGCCUAAUUAUUUCCCACAGGCCCCAUCUCCAAAUGCCAUCUAGUCGGGGGCUAGGGCUUCAACACAGGAAUUUUGAUGGAGACAUAAUUCAGUCCAUAGCACAAGAAGAGGACAGUCAGAAAAGGGGUAGAGUAGAUGCUGAAAAAAAGAGAGAUGGCAUGAGGAUUCCCAUUGUACUGUUCUCAUGUAUUAAAUGAAAAUACUAAUAGACAACCUAAAGACAUACUAAAAUUAAAAAAAUUCUCAUACAAGUAUAUUUUACUACUAGUCUCUUUACACAUAUAAAACACAAAUAUUUUGUUCCAUUUCUAAAUACAUUACAACUAACAAAAGUGUUUAAAACUCUUUAGCAAAGUGGGGGACUUCAAGAGCCUCAAGUCCUAUUUGUAUUGGAAAGUGCCCAAGGCCACCCCAGUGAGUUUUCUAGAAUCUACCACUAACCAUCUCACUCCUCUCCCCCCAUCUAGUCUCCCUCAUCUGUAACAGGAAGUGAUGUGUGUCCCCAAAGUCCUGACAGCUCUACAUGUCCCACACUUCACACACCUGUGGUCCCUCAUAGGCUUCUGCUGGCAGCUCAGUCUUGCCAAGGCGGGUCUCCCGGAAGCCUGGAGGUGCUGUUAUCUGACCAGAUUUUCUCAGCCUUAACCCCACACCCACAGGAUCCAGGAAACCCAGAGAUUGCAACAAGAAAGGCUCUUCUAUGUGAGACGGAGGAAAAACCUGAUUAGCAACAGUGAGGGUAUAAACUCAUCACUUUCGCCACUACUGAAGGGGUUUUUACAGUCAUACAUCAUUCUUCAUCAUUUUCCCUCUUUCUUCUAUGACUUAAAAUAGAUGUAAGUCAGGACUGAGAAUGAUGGUGUACAGUUCUCGCAAAAAGACUAUAGGGGAUGGCCGGUGGGAAUUGGGCAGGGUUAGAAAGAUUUAGUGAGAGGAGAGGCAGUCCCAGCAUUCUGCCUUCGGCUGACCCAGGCUGUACUCACUUUUCUAUGUCAGCCUUGAAAGACCAAAGGCCCAGAAGAAAAUAUGACCUUGCCUUUGGCCAUUUCCAGCUUCCUGUUCUUCAUACCCUCAAAACCUUUAUGCUCUGAGAAAAGUGACAUGUGAAAGUUACAUCAAAAAUGACUAAUAAUAACUAAAUAGAUAACAAUAGAGGUGACUGUAGUUGAAGGAGUACCUUAAAAGACUGAGCGUUGACUACAUUUUUGGGGUGAUCUAGCCUCAUCUGCUACCAGUAUAGGAAUUAUUUCUGUAACAUCUCUUUGAUAAUUUUUUUUCUUUUCUUUUCUUUUUUUGAAACGGAGUUUCGCUCUUGUUGCCCAGGCUGGAGUGCGAUGGUGCGAUCUUGGCUCACCACAACCUCUGCCUCCCGGGUUCAAGCGAUUCUCCUGCCUCAGCCUCUUGAGUAGCUGGGAUUACAGGCAUGAGCCACCACACUCGGAUAAUUUUGUAUUUUUAGUAGAGACGGGAUUUCUCCAUGUUGACCAGGGUGGUCUCGAACUCCCAACCUCAGGUGAUCCACCUGCCUCGGCCUCCCAAAGUGCUGUGAUUACAGGUAUGAGCCACCGUGCCUGGCCUCUCUUUGAUAAUUUUCUAAGCAAGUGGCUCUCAGUCACUGGUGUCCCUCCAGCUCUUCAGAGGUUGGCUGCCAAUUGUAAUCAAUGAGUUAAAAAUCUGAAUUUUGUGAUCACUGCAGCUGUACACUGUCACAGAGAGACCUGACAGAGGGAACACUGCCAUACAUAGACUGGGAAAACAGUGGGGCAUCACUUGUUGCUAAUCAGAGCAAGAAGGAGUGGUUUCAUAUUAGGUCAACAUACCUAGAAUGUGUGAAAACAUUGCUUCACGAGUCCAAGAUGUUAACACUUUUCUGUAAACAGUGAUGCAGGGCUGAAAAGUGACCCAAUGAAUAGGAGGAAGAGUUCUUUUAGAUUUUCUAAAUACUUCUUGCUAAAAAGGGAUAUUCCCCUUUUGAUUUCUUUAUGGGUGCCACCAAAAAGUAUGCAUUGAACAGAGAAAUGCUGAGAAGCACUGAUCUAAUUUCUGACCCAACUACCUCUAACAAUGGGAAAUAUACUUGUUGCUAGCCAGAUCCCAAGUAUCCUCCAUAGUCAUCUUCUUGUUCAUUCAUUCAUCCAAUAAUUAUGUUUGGGAACCUGCACAUAGAGAAUAAAUAAGAUAAAAUGUUGGCUCCACAGCUGCAGCUUCACAGUGAAGUAGGGGAGGGGCAGCACUGAGUUAGGCCCUAAAGGGCAUUUGGGAUUAGCCUAAACAAACACCUCAGCUGGGUACUCACUCAUGAAGGUUUACUUUUCCCUCUGCCUUUCAAGCUAAUGACUAAGGCUGCCAAGUAUUUACUCAACAAGAAAGACCCAACAAGGAUCACCGGUGAGGUGAUUAAAUACCUCAUUCCACCAGAGCCACCCAGGAUUGCUGUUUGGAUUAAAAGACAAUGUCAGCUUCCUCCUCUGUACAAAUGCCCACUACUCUGACUCACUAUGGGGCUGGUUUUGAAAGUUAUGUAUUAUUUGUCUGCAACCACCACAGAGUCCAGGGUCAUCUCUUGCCAUACUUGGACUUGCACAUACUUGGCACAGCUUUAGGACAUAUUCUUUAGAAAUAUAUCCCUCCCACUUAAAUUGACAAACCUAAACAAAACUUUUUAGGUUUUCUAUCCUCUAGAUUUUUACAGUGAACGUUUGCAAAUGGCUAUUCUCUGAAAUAAAUGAUUCACUUAUUUUUUUUGUAUUGUAGUACAAAUAUUUUUCUUUUUGAAAAUCAAAUUAGUCCUAUGUCUUGAAGUUUCAUCUGUCCUCCCCUUUUAAUGUUUUUACUUGUAAAGAGACCAAUCUAUAGUGCCAAGUGACUGACUUCAAAG
Molecule: long non-coding RNA, 7657 nt
Filed under: Homo sapiens (human)
Lineage: Eukaryota; Metazoa; Chordata; Mammalia; Primates; Hominidae
Description: non-protein coding LINC01184:33
Source: RNAcentral